RNA transcript from Arachis stenosperma, 3247 nucleotides. It is a transcript of the gene named translocase of chloroplast 90, chloroplastic, with no coding region annotated. Lineage: Eukaryota; Viridiplantae; Streptophyta; Magnoliopsida; Fabales; Fabaceae. The record is from RefSeq and is a predicted model, not a curated record. The transcript has 4 exons.
AAGCGGUUAGGUGUCAUCUCUCUCUGUCUUAUCCCAUCUUCUCCGAUUUUUUGUUCUUACACCAUUCAACCAUUCCUCCUUCCUCCUUCUUACAAUUUUGACUCUUCCGUUUCACCUUCGUCCUCAUCCUCCCCUCUCUUCCCUUUCACUUUCUUCACUUUUCCGCCUUCAUCGCCUCUUGUUUUGUUGCCGCCCUUCCUUCUCCGUUUCAACAAUCAAAUUAGGGUUUUUAUUCGCUGAUUUAUCACCAUCGCGACACUAUGGUUAUGAUUCGUACUUGUAGGUUCGACCUCACGGCAUAAAAAGGUGCCUCUCGGGAUUUGAGCUUCCUAAAGCGUGGUAUGCUGUGCUUUCUUUUUUCCAAUUACAAUUUUCAAUAUUCCUUGUUGUUCAUGCUCAAAUUUCGAAGUGGUGUAGGAGUCCAAGAAUCCGGUAUUUCAGUAGGAUGAAAGGCUUUAGAGAUUGGGUUUUCUCUCAGAUACUGUCCAAAUCAUUGGUCUCAUCGACACCGAUAUCCGUCACAAGCAGUUUCUAUGAUGAAGGGAAUCGGGAUGAAGAAGAUAAUGAACAAGGCCACUCAUCUAGCUCCGUAGCAUCACCAACUUCUUCUGCAUCAGACCUUUCUUAUGAUAGUCAGAGCAAUCAGCGUAUUUCUACCUUGCCGCAAGUUUCAGAUACAGAAGUUUUUCAAUCUGAAGAUAAUGUCAACGGAAGACAGAAGGAUAAUUUGGCAAAGGUUGAACAUCUCCAAAUUAAGUUCUUCCGUCUACUCCAGCGCCUUGGCCAAUCACAAGAAAACCUCAUGGUCCCAAAGGUCCUUUACCGGAUUCACUUGGCAACUUUAAUUCGUGCAGGGGAACCAGAUCUGAAAAGAGUUAACAUUAGUAGUCGUAGAGCCCGAGCAAUAGCAAUUCAACAGGAGGAAAAUGGUACACCCCAAUUGGAUUUCUCUUGCAGAAUACUUGUUGUAGGUAAAACAGGAGUUGGUAAAAGUGCUACUAUAAAUUCUAUAUUUGGUCAAGCAAAAACCACCACUGAUGCUUUCCGACCUGCUACCAAUUGCAUCCAAGAAGUUGUGGGAACUGUCAAUGGUCUUAACCUAACAUUUAUUGAUACCCCUGGUUUCCUGCCUUCCUCUACGAGUAAUGUGAAGAGAAAUAAGAGGAUCAUGCUUUCUAUUAAGAGAUUCAUAAGAAAGUCCCCUCCAGACAUUGUUUUGUACUUUGAGCGACUUGAUUUGAUGAAUUCUGCCAAUAGUGACUUGCCGCUUUUGAAGCUUAUGACUGAAGUAUUUGGUACAGAAAUCUGGUUUAACACCAUCGUAGUCAUGACUCAUUCUUCCUCACCUAUUCCUGAAGGACCUAAUGGGUAUGCUGUUAAUUAUGAGUCAUAUACUUCUCAAUGUACCAAUUUAAUGCAGCACUAUAUACAUCAGGCAGUGUGCGAUUCAAGGCUAGAAAACCCAGUACUUUUGGUUGAAAACCAUCCUCAUUGCCCCAAAAAUAUUGUGGGGGAAAGAGUUCUACCUAAUGGACUGGUUUGGAGAUCUCAGCUCUUGUUAUUUUGCAUUUGUACCAAAGUUUUGGGUGAUGUCAAUUCCAUCCUGAAGUUUCAGAACAGUGUAGAACUGGGACCUGCAAGUAGUGCCCGAGUUCCUUCACUACCCCAUCUCCUUUCAACUCUUUUGCACCAACGUCCUGUAUCCGAUCCAAGUGGAAUUGAUGAUGAAGUUGAGGAAAUAUUACUCUCAGACAUGGAAGAAGAAGAUGAGUAUGAUACACUUCCAUCAAUUCGGAUAUUGACAAAGUCACAGUUUGAAAAGUUAUCCAAGUCCCAGAAAAAAGAUUAUCUGGAUGAGAUGGAUUACCGGGAGACUCUUUACUUAAAGAAACAGUUGAAAGAAGACUACCGUAGGCGUAAAGAGAAGUUACUCCUGAAUGAGCAACAACUUUUGAAUAGUGAUAAUUCUGAUGAUCAGCAAGCUCCUACAGAGCCUGUUCUGUUACCAGACAUGGCUGUUCCUCCAAGUUUUGACUCAGAUUGCCCUACACAUAGGUAUCGUUGCUUUGUUGCUGAUGACCAGUGGCUUGUGAGACCUGUUCUUGAUCCACAAGGAUGGGAUCAUGAUGUGGGGUUCGAUGGUAUAAACUUGGAGACAACCACAGAAAUAAAGAAGAAUGUUUAUGCCAUGAUUGUGGGACAGAUGAAUAAGGAUAAGCAUGACUUUGGUAUUCAGUCUGAGUGUUCUGCUGCUUAUGUUGAUCCCAUAGGUCCUACUUAUUCUGCGAGUCUUGAUGUUCAGUCGGCAGGCAAAGAUCUGAUCUGUACGGUUCGUAGCAACACAAAAUUGAGAAUCGUAAAGCACAAUAUUACUGACUGUGGUGUUUCUUUGAUGUCCUUUGCAAAGAAGUAUUAUGUGGGUGCAAAGCUUCAGGAUACUUUGUUAGUUGGGAAUAUAUUAAAAUUUGUCAUGAGUGCAGGCUUAAUGGAGGGUUCUCGCCAGGUGGCGUAUGGUGGGAGUUUUGAAGCUGCCAUUCGAGGGGGAGAUUAUCCUGUAAGAAAUGACAAUUUAAGUCUAACGGCAACUGUCCUUUCCUUUAACAAAGAGACUGUAUUGAGUGGAAGUUUACAAGCUGACUUGAGGCUGAGUAGAAGCACGAGAGCAACUGUUAGUGCUAAUUUAAAUAGUCGCGGAAUGGGGAAAAUAUGCAUUAAGACAAGUAGCUCUGAGAAUUUACAAAUUGCUUUGGUUGCUGUUUUCUCAGUUCUGAAGGCCCUAUCACGUAGAAGGGGAGCUAACUACACGGGGAAGGAUGUGAGAGACUAGUUUCUGUUUGUUUAUUGGUACCCUCUUCUUGUGUUCAUGGAAGAAGUAGAGGUGUUGAAGCUGUCCACAUGCCAAAUAUCACGUAGAAGACAGAAGACAGUUGGUUAGAAUCGGAUGUUUUUGAAGAGUUUAGCUGGAGUUUUCUUUUUGUUGAUACUUGAGGUGCAUAUUGCCUGUUUUUGGAAGUCUCUUAUAGAUUACCUACCAAAAAAACCUCCACAAGCAGUCAUAGAAAAGAUUCAAAUUCAGGUCCUUUCAGAAUGUGUUGUCAUCUUUUGUUACCUGUACUAAUUCUCCUUAACUACUUGGAUCGUUUUACGCAAUAGAAUCGCACAGAGGAUACUACGACACAGUACAGACUACAGAGGGUUUCGUGAUAUAUAGGGUGUGUUUGGAUUUACGUUGGAGAAGAGAAAAGCU